This 253-nucleotide ribosomal RNA is filed under the name uncultured bacterium. RNAcentral's name for it is "partial 16S ribosomal RNA". It matches the Rfam family "Bacterial small subunit ribosomal RNA", at positions 524 to 776 of the family's 1533-position model. The record is from RNAcentral.
UACGUAGGGUGCAAGCGUUGUCCGGAAUUAUUGGGCGUAAAGAGCUCGUAGGCGGUCUGUCACGUCGGCUGUGAAAACCCGAGGCUCAACCUCGGGCCUGCAGUCGAUACGGGCAAACUAGAGUACUGCAGGGGAGACUGGAAUUCCUGGUGUAGCGGUGAAAUGCGCAGAUAUCGGGAGGAACACCGGUGGCGAAGGCGGUUCUCUGGGCCUUACCUGACGCUGAGGAGCGAAAGCGUGGGGAGCGAACAGG